This 253-nucleotide ribosomal RNA is filed under the name uncultured bacterium. RNAcentral's name for it is "partial 16S ribosomal RNA". It matches the Rfam family "Bacterial small subunit ribosomal RNA", at positions 524 to 776 of the family's 1533-position model. The record is from RNAcentral.
UACGGAGGGUGCAAGCGUUAUCCGGAUUCACUGGGUUUAAAGGGUGCGUAGGUGGGCAGGUAAGUCAGUGGUGAAAUCUCCGGGCUUAACCCGGAAACUGCCAUUGAUACUAUUAGUCUUGAAUACCGUGGAGGUCAGCGGAAUAUGUCAUGUAGCGGUGAAAUGCUUAGAUAUGACAUAGAACACCAAUUGCGAAGGCAGCUGGCUACACGAGCAUUGACACUCAGGCACGAAAGCGUGGGGAUCAAACAGG